GACGGAGGAUGCAAGUGUUAUCCGGAAUCACUGGGCGUAAAGCGUCUGUAGGUGGUUCGAAAAGUCCACUGUUAAAAAUUGAGGCUUAACUUCAAAGAUGCCGUGGAAACUUUCAAACUAGAGUAUGGUAGGGGUAGAGGGAAUUUCCAGUGGAGCGGUGAAAUGCGUAGAUAUUGGAAAGACCACCAAUGGCGAAGGCACUCUACUGGGCCAUUACUGACACUGAGAGACGAAAGCUAGGGGAGCGAAUGGG
This 253-nucleotide ribosomal RNA is filed under the name uncultured bacterium. Its description in RNAcentral is "partial 16S ribosomal RNA". It matches the Rfam family "Bacterial small subunit ribosomal RNA", at positions 524 to 776 of the family's 1533-position model. The record is from RNAcentral.